Molecule: unclassified non-coding RNA, 3683 nt
Filed under: Rhipicephalus microplus (southern cattle tick)
Lineage: Eukaryota; Metazoa; Arthropoda; Arachnida; Ixodida; Ixodidae
Description: carbonyl reductase family member 4-like, transcript variant X2
Source: RNAcentral
AUGCGAUAGGCUCGCGCAUGUUCCCUCGCAGGCAUGGCGCGUACUACGGAAAACUACGAAAAUAAGUAACUGCCGUAGCCUGUGGUUGCUGUGCUCGGCAACCGAAACCGGCAGGUCAUUGCGGGUUGGUAAAAUUCGAGCGAAGUGCCCGCGCACUUAACGGGACGACAGAGCUAGCGGCUCAAUCGAGCGAUUGCUUUCCUUGGCAAGCGCAGUGAAUGCGAGACUUCGGCGCUUGCCGAUUUCCAGCGUCAUGGCAACUGUUGCAUGCGCGCAGGCUUUACUCUACGCCGAGUACGCGUGAGCAAAGCCAAGCGUAAGGAAGCCGGGGUUGUGCACGGACGUAAAUGUGACGUCCGCAAUGAAGCGAGUGUGCGAGAAGCCCUGGCCUGGGCCGAAGAUCAGGUCGGUCCUGUGCACUACCUCGUGACCGCAGCUGGCGUUGGCCUUGACCGGCUGCUCGCCCAGACAAGCGAGGCCGAGAUGCGACACCUGUUUGACACCAACGUCAUUGGCACGCUGUUCUGCACCAAAGCUGCCCUGAAGGCUGGCAUGCUGCGCCGCCGACAGGGUUCCUAUUGUCAAUGUGGGCAGUGUUGUUGGUGAACGAGGCAAUGUUGGCCAAACUGUCUACUCUGCCAGCAAGGCUGCCAUGGUGGGCCUGACCCGCUCUCUUGCCAAAGAGGUUGCCUCUCGCAACAUCAGGGUCAACAUGAUUCAGCCCGGUUUCAUAGACACUGGCAUGACUCGCGCGGAACACUUGCAAGCAGUGGUGGGCCGCAUCCCCUUGCAGCGGCCGGGCCGCCCCGAGGAAGUGGCGCGUGCGGUGCAUUUUUUGGCAAGCAGCAGCUAUGUAACAGGGCAGGUGCUGCCCGUCGACGGUGGCCUCAGAUUGGCUAUGUGAAAAGCCCGAGCGCAAGAACCGCUCAGGCACAUGGGGAGGUGCCCGUGCGCACGAGGGCCGCCCAGGACAGGCCGUUGGACAGCACCAGGGGAAGCAAGAGUUCGGCCCCUUCCCAGGGCCAGGGCUUGCCGAGGUUCGAGCAGCAGUGCGCCGCCUGGCAUGGCCCGGUUGCCCAAACGGCUGUGAAAAACACGCGAGGCAACAAUGCAUUUUGGAGUCACUCACCCGAAUUUCCAAGAACAGUGUAUGCAGUAGCGUGCAGAUGCAGUUGUCUUACAUGACUGUUGUCUCAAAUCUUGUCUCAAAUCGUUCAGGCACAUUGCCAGACUCCCUGCAGUAUUUACUAAAGCAAAAUGUGAUUGAAGAAAUGUGCUAUAUAUAAGCAACCUAAACCUGGUAGUAAUACGUAGUAUGAUGCAUUAGUUGCUUAUGGUCACAUAAUCAGGAACCACCGUAGCAUAGCCCAGUCGCCCACGCAGCUGCAAAAAGACACGAACCAACAGAUGAGGCAACAACACACUUUGGAGUCACACACCAAGCUUUUACAAGUAGAACAGCAUAUAGAUAUGUACAUGGGCUGACCUUGACAGUUAAGUAGGCCGGUUAGAAUGUUUGUGUAAGGUCAAUACAUACUAUCGCCGUUAGUAGCUUGAUGAAACAGCAUGACAGAAAAGGAAAGGCGAGCACAGGCGGAAUUUGGUGUGGCUAAUUGUGCCUGUGUUUGUCAUUUCCUUUCUGUUUUCCUGUGUCGUUGCACUGCUUACGGUGACAUUAGACAGGGGUUUGUAGUAUGGAGAAGUACUAUUUAACCAAUGUUGACGUCGAGUGUUUCAGCUAACUGGCACCUAGUGUUACAAAAACAUGCAUGCCUUGCGUGUGUGUCCUAUCGGUUCAGUACUGUUCUGGGCGAUACCCAGAGUGCCAGAAUAUUUUUUCCAAUCUUCCAGUUGGUUAUUUAUGAAGAUUGCAUAAUAACAUUUUAACUAAUAAACUCAGGGGGAGUUCUUUAGUGCAAUAAUUGUACUACUCGUUCUAAAACAGUAUUUCACUCAUGCUUAGGUAAUUGCCAAUCUUAUUAACUGUUUGAACAACAAAUACUGCCUAAUUAAGCUUUUAAAUAGUAGUUCUAAUAAAAAAUAUUCAACAGAAAAGUUGUAAAGUUUCUUUAGAAGUAUUGGAUGAUCUGCACUAAAAUAACCAGCAGAUAGUUUUUUUUUUUUUUCAGCUUUAUUUUAGAGUGCCCUUGAUUGAAAAGUAUACUGGGUGCAAGUUAGCUGUAACACCUCGUGUAGUUGGUAGCAUUUACAUGAUCAAAAAUAUGUUGAAAAUGUACUAUGAACAAGCUGACUAUGGUAGCUAUAGUUAUGUUAUGACAUAUUGGUAGUUUAUGGUCACAUACUCAUAAAAUGGACUCAACUUUCCUGAAAGGAUAGCAUGUGCAGCAGUGUGCACAUGGAAGUGUCACGUGACUUGUGCCUCAUAUCAUUCAGGUACAUUGUUAGACCUACAGGGUUGAGUAAACAGGGAGUUUGCAUUACUAUUUACACAAAGAAAGAUGUUAUAGUGAAUUGUCUUAUGUAUUAGUAGUAUAAAUAUGGUAGCUGUAGCAUGACAUAGCUGUUUACAAUUACAUACGCACAAAACACGUGGUUGAAACAGUACUUGUCAUGCCGUUUGUUUCAGGUCAUGUAGAACACAAGAUAAGGAAGAUACAAAGGUUCACAUGUUUACUGCACGGAAAGAAAAAAAAAAUGGAAAUGUGUUUCGUGAAGGCAGUGCAAUACAAUGCUUCAAGAAGAGACCUCUCUCCUUUCUGUAAAUAAACUUACCUCCUCCUCCUACUCGUAGAACGAAUAAAUGAGGUUUCAGAGUGAUUUAAUAUAUUGCAAAGUGGGGAAUUUCAUUGAGAUGUAUGUAUUUGGGAGCAGUGAAUACCUAAAGAGUUUAUUUGGGUUUCUGAUUUUCUCUUGCUUUGUGGUUGUGGUUGUACCGAUACAUGCCGACACUGAUAAAUUUAUGCAGAAACCUCCGGCUGUCUGAAGACCACCGUGUGCUAUACAAGAUAUCAAGGAGAGGGGACGGUAGUCCUCAUAGGGUGUACCGACACAAAAAUAUUUAGUUCUUCAUUUUUCACAUAAAGUAAAAGGCCAUGCCUUCAAAAGAUUAGAAAAUGCACUGGUAAGCAUGAAUGCGCCAUAAAAAUAUAGUUGUAUCUUUGAAAGCUAGUUUUGGUUUCUACUGUAGUCCGACGUCGCGAUACAGUACGAGCUCUUUAUCGCGGGGUUGCACAAUGUGUGACGUUACCAUGGCCGCUCUGCUCCACGACUCUGUUAUUGUGCAAAAGCAGUUAUUGUGAACGUUUUUACGGAUACGCAAGCGGACGUUUUAAACGUUUCGCCCCUGAUGUUAUCACGACUAGCCAUACUGAUGAAGGCAUCAGGAUAGCCUGACGUCACGAUAGUGGCGAUGUACAUGAAGUGCAUCGUGCAAAAAAAAAGGCUUUAAUGUCAAAAUGAAACAUCUUAGUGUUUUUUUGAGCUUCUUAUUUGCACAGAGCCACCGCUGUGUAUAAGGUAUCGGUAUUGCAGGGUAAACUUGGCCUCAGAAAAUUCGUGUUAGUACCCCUUGAAACAUGUAAUAAAGGUCACAUUGUUCAUCAAAUCAUGAGAUGCGGCAUUCUUGUACUCUGUUCUCUGGUACCGGAGCUCCAUUUUUCAAACUUCAGUUUGAUCUCAUUCCUGGCUGUUGAAAUAAAAUGUUGUGGUUGAAUGUGGUUAAA